CUAUAUUAUACCCCCCAUCUACAUUUGAUACAGUUUCUCUGCUUAAAAAUGCUAGAAAUUUGAUGUAUUUAAUAUUUUUAUUAGGUCUUGAGUUUCAAACUUUCAUGGCCCCGAUAAGUUUAUCUAUGCAGCCCUAAAUAUCUUACAGGUGGAAGUUUAGUUGAUUCAACUUUUGCGGACAUAGUGUCCACAUGAUACUUGACUCGUGCGCUAAGUUUUAGAAGUUCUACCUCAAAACCUUACACCAUGUAGUACAAUCAUUAGAUAAAUUUUGAGCAAGAUUUGGAUGGCUGAUGAUACCAAGGAAUAAGGAUCCCUGUGGUUACAAGCAAAAGCAAAUAAAGGGAAGGGAAAUUAGUUUAAAAAAGAAAAUGGAAAUUUUUUUAUGUGGCUAGCUUAUAUUCUUACAGAAUAUGGUAAUUAAACUUUCCAAAUAGAUUCCUUUGCCCUAAUGUUUUCUCAAAUCCAAGUAACUAGGUUGAAAAGUGAAGUAAAAUUUAAUUACUAUAUUAAUAAGUAUUUACACACUUACACUACCAUUACAACAACAAAAAACCACCACCACCAUUACCAUAUUCCAAUUAAGCAUGUUAGGAAUUAUUAGAAAGUAUUCAUUUUAUUGUUGUUUCGAUUUCAUUUUCCUUCUUUUCACUUCGAAGGAAAAUAUUCAAGAAAUAUGGUUCAGUUUGGCUUUAAAAUUUGAAAGACGGGAAAUCCACAUCGUCCCAUUUUUGUCCAAUGGACACAAUUUCGCUUAUAGAUGAUCCAGGUUGUACUCUAUCCACACAAUGCAAUUCAAUAAAGUAAGCCCUCCAUGUGGUUCAAACUCUGGUGGCAUGAAUAUUAAGCUUAUUUUAAGGGCAAGUUUUACCCUAGUAUAGGAUUUGCCUUAUAUAUUAUAAAGUGGGCCAUCUUACCAUAGAUGCGAUUUUGGGACCUCCAUUUGUGUAUAGAACAUGGAUGAUGGAACCAAUUGUUGAGUUUGAUACAUAGUGUGGUGAGGGUUGGCAAGUUGCAGUCCCUUGUAUCUAUGCCUCCGCCCACCCCCCCCCCCCCCCAAAUUUUUAUUUUUAUUUUUUUUUAUCUAAUGCUUUUGAAGGGAUCUGGCUUGUGGUUCUUUGGUCUAACUGGGGUGUAUACAAUUUUUCUAGAGUAGAUUAUGUUUCUUCUUGUGAACUCUGCUUGCUUGAAUAGUUGCUGAAUGGCAUUUUUCUUAGUCUUUGCCAUCUUUCCUUGUCUCUUGCUCUUCCUCUUUGCCCUUUAGGACAAUUUUAUUGUCAGAAAGCUUAACUAUCAUGACAAAAAUUCACUUGCUCCUAUCAUCAUACCUGUUUAUGGACAGCAUAUGCACUCAUUUGAGAUGGGGUGCAAUGGAUGCAGAAGCAUAUUUAGAAUCCUGAAAGAGUGUGUUGCAAACUUUAUGGAAAAUUGGUGGUAGACAACCUGGGUUUGGACCCAUGUGGACAAAUGCUAGGGUCUGUGCUUUUGAAUCCUUGACUCAUUAUGAGGUCUGUCUACUGUUGAACUUGUAACAAAUUUUACAUUCUGCACUUCUUUGAUACCUUCCUCAAUUUAAAUCUCUGUAAAGUCUGGGUACUUCUUUUCUCUUGCUUCCACCCCCUCCUUUAACUACCCCCAUCUUGUAUUAGAAUUUUAUUUGGUUAUCUGUGUAGGGCUCCUAGGCUGUACUAUGUUUUCCAGGUAGAUCAUAUUCAGAAAAGCAUUCCUGAUUUCAAGAAAAUUAACAUAGACUUGCUUAUGUCUGAAGAUAAUGCUGAUGUACUGAGAGCCAUGGUGGAAUUUGAAGUCAAGAUUUUAACAUUUGAGCAAAUGUUAGGAAUAUGACUGCUUUUUAUUUUCUGUCUCAGCUUAAAGAAUAUGACAAGGUAACUGUACUGAUAAACUCUUCUCAAUUGACCCAGCAACCGUCGCUGACUGUUGAAGGAGAAAAGAGCUGUGGGGAAUAAGGUUGAAAAGUUGCUGAUAUCUUUCCUCAGGUUAUUGUCUACUCAGGUAUCAGGAAGUUUUGGAAUUUUGUAAUCUUUCAAGAUGAAAAGAUGCAAGUGCUUCUCAAUUCUAUUUAAUUAGGUAGAAAAACUGUCUUUUCCUGCAUUACUCUGGAGGUUGGUGUGUCAUUUGGCACCAUGAUUUAGUCAUUUAUUACUUUAUUGUCUUGGUGCCUUCUUAAAAGCUUUCUUCAGUGGUAUGGGCUUCCUUGAUUUUCUCAUUGUUGUUGCAAUCUCUUAUCUAUAUAUUGUUGUCAGCUUGUAAUGAAUCAUAUAGUACAAUACGCGAUGGAUGGAGGCUUUAGAAGUUGAUAUUUGGUAUGCUUGAGUAAAUUCCCACCUCUCAAAAAAAAAAAAAAAAAAAGAAAAGAAAAGAAAAGAAAAAAGGUAUGCUCGCAACUUGACUUAGGGUGGACUAGUGAACUGAAGAUAAUUCCUCCAAUCAUUUAUGUGGAGUGGAAGUUCUCCCUCAUUUGUAUCAUCUUUCAAAAUGCAAGCCCACAUAUAAUGCAAGUGAGACAUGCUGAUGCAUUAGGUUUGAGUAAAGUAGUCAUGCAACAUGGACUUGUUGAUUUUUUUAUUUUAUUUUAUUUAUAAUGUUAAUCGUACAUUCGAUUGUAUGGAGAAUGAGGAAAGGACCAAACGUGGAGGGGGAUAUGGCAAUGGUUUUCGCAAAUUUGAGAAGCUUGAAUUUUUGGAAAGAGAGCUUUUAAUUCCUAAGGUGUUCCUGAGCCUGGAGAGCUUUCCCAAUUCAUUCCAAUCUUAAAAUAGGACAAAAAUCCUUCAAACUUUGCCUCUUUCUUUUACUUUCCUUGCCAACAAAACAACAUUGCAAAAAUUAGUUUUUUUUUUUUUUUUUUGGUGGGUGAAUAAAUAAAUUCAUUGCCAAGAGAGAAAAACAUACAGCCCCAAUAAAAGGGGGGGGGGGAAGAGAUUACAGACUCAUAGAUUCCUGAUGAUGGAGCUAGAAAGCUCCUAGGAGUUUACAAUAUGACAUUUCCUAGGGGAGUGGUUACAUUGAGUAGAGAUCCGAGCGAUCUUUCCCUUGAUAUCAAAGGAGAUGGAGUUUUAUUUUAUUUUACUUUCCAUUCCUUCACUCUUUGAUCUAGCUUUCCUCUACUUUAAUAUCUGGACAACCGAGCAGGCCUAGUAUUGGGCAGAAGUGAUGGGGGUGUAAGUUCGUACUGUUGUGGAUGGAGUAGAGGAAGAUAUUAAAUUACUAUCAAUAGAUCUUUUUGGUAGAAAAUUAUGUAUUCUACCAUCCAUGGAUAUUGUGUGGUUUUUCCUUUUAUUUCUUAAUUUAUAAUUGUUGAACAGAUGUUUUAUGUUUGGCUAAUGAAUGCAUUUACUCUUAACUCUAGAUAAAAUAUUACGCUGUAAUUUGGAUUGAAAUAUUCAAUUUUUUCUUACAAGUUUCUAUAACUACUAUUACAAAUAUUGAAGGCUUGAACAUCAUUUCAAUGUAAUAAAAGAUAUAUGUUUCCCUUUUCAUGAUUUCAUCUGAAUAGAGACCUGCUAUGGGGAUUAUACUCCCAAUUUAUUGUCUUUUAUUUGGCUGAUUGAUGGUAAAAUAUGUUAGUAUUUUUGGUUCAGUGAAUCAAUAAUUGCUAAUUUCUUUGAUUUUUGUAUUUGUUAUGUUUAUUGGUAUAUUUCCAUAUGUCCUUGUUCCCCUAGGCAUUAUUUGCUUUUUGUAAGCAGGAAUCGAAAACUACUUCCACUAGAGAUUUCCCUGGUGCAGCUCUUCUGUCACUUCCUGUCGCUUCUGAAAAGGUACAUAAUCAACGGACACCAUAGGUUCAUAUUAACCGCAAUGUUUUAUAGUUAAACGGUUUCUUUGGAGAUUUUCUUAUAGAUUUGAAUUGGGUCAAGAGCUAUUAAACUUGCACAUAGCAUAUGAAGAUGCUCUAGUGAAAGUAGCUGAGUAUACUCUUUGCUAGAUAUGUGCAAGUUGUCGUUGGGCUAUAAACAUAUUGGAUGGGGUUGGGUAAUGACCCAUGCCUUCCUAGUUGAAAUAAUAUCUCAUCGUUACUCUUUAGGUUACACCACCACCCCCACCAAAACAAAAAAAAAAAAAAAAAAAAAGAGGAAAAAAAAAAAGGCUUUAUAGAAAUUCACAUUAUCUGGAGGGUAGACGGGUAAGGUGGGUAAACCUAUGUUUAAUAAAAUGUCCACUUUAGUAAGUCCUAACAAUUAGUAUAAAUAUUUCCGCAUAUUUAAUACUAUAAAUCUAUAACACAUUAUUUCCUCAUAAAACUCAAUAAACAACCAUACAAUAACCAAAAUCUAAAUAUGUUUAUUAUAAUUCAUAUAUUCAAUUUUCGUAUGCGUUAUAUGUGUAGCAACACUAAAGCAGAUCAGAAUAGUACCUGCGUAUGGAAUAACGAUGUAGAAAACAGAGUAAGAAGGAGAGAUUGAGAAGAUGGAAGAGAGAACUAGGGAAAACCUAGCUGUGGUUGUUUGUAUCUAUCCGUCAUGAGCCUAGGAAAGUAAUAUAUAUUAGGGUCAUAGAUUAAUUAAAACUAAAAUGAAACGAUGGUAAAGACCCCCCCGCAGUAGGCUACUUAAUCUAAUAACUUAAACAACACCAUAUAUAAUAAAUACCACCAUAAAUAGUUAACUGACACCUCGGCUACUAAACAGCACUAUCACUACAAGUCUACAGCUUUAACGAUAUGUUCUAUUUUUUUUUAGAUGGAUAAACAGGUAGACAGGGAGUGUGGAAUGCCCUCACCUAUACCCUACCCUUUUAGCUAAACAUUAUAAAACACUAAUCCAUACCAUCCCUCUUCAGGGUAAACAGUAUAGAACAAAUGGAGGGGAAUUGUGGAAGUUUGUAAAUUCUGAGGCCUUUCUUAAAUUUCUCGAUAUUGGGUGUAUUUGCUUCAUCGUUUUCAUUCACUAGGAUUUUAGUUUUCUCUAUUGUGUCACUCACUGUCUUGCUCGUUUCCAUUCAAAUCUAUGCCCAUUGUCAAGUUGAUGAUUGAAUGCUUCAAAAAUUUUCUGCGGAAAAGUGCAGAAGUAAGUGUACUUGUUGGCCAAAUUAUGCUCCUUACUCCUUAGGCACUUUUUGACAGCUUUGUUUGCUCUUCUCGGUUACUCAUUUUAUUUCCUUCAUUCCUGGCAAUAUGUAUUUUGUCACUCAACUCAUAUUCUUAAAAGUUUGAAGGAUUUAUCAGGACAUGAAAAAUCUCAUUGACGUUGCUGAAUAUCUGGUGGAUGCAUUUACGGUGAUCUUGAGGCAGGUGGUUGGAACUGGAUCGUUGAUCAAAGAGGCUCAACCAUGCAGCGUAGAACAGUUGGAAACUCUUCUAUCAUUUUAUACUGAUUUUCACAAUCUUUCUGGUGGGAGUGAGACCAUUUUCAAAACUUUCAAAUUGUGUAUUGCUCGUUCAGAAAGAGCUUGGAUUGCCAUACUUACCAGAACUGUUAUCAGUGAAGAUGUCCUUAUUUCUCAUACUUAAUCAAGCAGAAUUUGAACAUGAACAACUCUCCAUGCUAAAACUCACAGUUUUCUUGUUUAAGUAGAAAAUUGAAAAUGGACCCAUCUUCGUUAUCCACUUCUUACUUUCUAGGUUUGGCUUCAGUUUGUAAGACCAGUAUUAAAGUGAUGAACAGUGAUUGGAAACCAUGGAUGUCUCAACUCAGGGAAUAUUCUUUAUCGAAUGCUGAAAGAAAAAAGUCUCCACUAUUACCUUAAGCUGAAGGAAAUCUUCAUCAGGUACUUGCACAUCCUAAAAGGUUCAGUGAAUUUAGGUCCGAAAGAAAUAUUUAUAUCGUUAUGGCUGCUUCUGUUCUUGAUGUCUGCAGAAAAAAAUCCUGAUUGGGGCAUGCAUUGAGAGCCAAGAUCCAUAUAUACAAGCACUUGGUUUUCAAAUCCUUUCUCAUCUGUAGAUGUGGUUGAUUUUUAUACUGCCUGGGAUGUAAUUCCAAAGCAUGUGCUGGACUAUACAGUAGAUCCAUGUUCAUGGGUAAGAAUAUCUUAAUCAUC
This is a long non-coding RNA of Macadamia integrifolia, 5994 nucleotides long. RefSeq lists it as uncharacterized. Lineage: Eukaryota; Viridiplantae; Streptophyta; Magnoliopsida; Proteales; Proteaceae. The transcript is spliced from 6 exons. The record is from RefSeq and is a predicted model, not a curated record.